RNAcentral lists this long non-coding RNA (1082 nucleotides) under Sinocyclocheilus anshuiensis. Its description in RNAcentral is "lncRNA (ENSSANG00000018203.1)". Lineage: Eukaryota; Metazoa; Chordata; Actinopteri; Cypriniformes; Cyprinidae. The record is from RNAcentral.
GACAGAUCUAAGGAGGUGAGAUCAGACUCUUCAGCUUAUAAGAAGGAUAAAAGCAGUCCAACCUCUUUGACACAGUUGUGCAAACAGCUGGAGGAGAGAAUCACUCGGAAAUCACUGCGUUACCCCAUCCACCAUGAAGACCGUCAGUCUCUGACUGCAGUGUUGAUCUCUGAGCUGGGUCUGAUCUAGCAGGACCUGAAAACCCCGCCUGUGGACACCACACUCACCCAGGAAGAGAAAGUGCAGCUGCACUGCCAGACAUUCAGUGAGGUGCUGCACAUCUGUGAGCAGCUAUUUCUGCACUCCCUGCAACUGAUGGAGACUCUACGGAGGCGAGGUGUCUUCAGCGACCAUGUCAACCGCAGCAGGGUGGCAGCUCAGCUCGCUAUUGACUGCACCAGUCUCUUGAAUGUCCGAUCCAUAAGAUGCAGGAUUGUCACAGGAAUCAAGAAUGCACGGAGGGUCAGACAAAGUGCUGUUACACACGCACUACAUAUGCGCUCUCAUAACAAUGAGAGGUCCAUGACGGCCACACCAUGGGAAAAAGCUGUGGAGGAUGACCUCAAGGAGGUGUGUUUGUGUUUGUGUGUGUGCAUGUUGUAAAGAGAGACAGUGAGGUUAUAUUAAUGAAUUUCUGUGUGUCCAGAUUCAGGAGAAAAUUGGAGAGCUGGAUCUGCAACAUGUGUAUGACCUCCUGCCCUGUAACAUGGAGCCAAUUACCUACAAGACAGACACACAUUGGAUGCCAUUCCAUGCCUGACCUACAGAGGGAGACACUGCUGGAGGAGCUGGAGAUAACGCUGCUUGAUCGGCCUCCAACCUCUCCAAGAUUAUUACAGGAGAGUGAAUACGAGGAUGACGGUAACUGUGAGACAGAUCUGUGCUCGCUUAUAGAAUCCCUGACCUGCUAUAGUUCCAGCAGACUCCAAAGGCUCAAGCAAAAACUACAGAAAAUGAUGGAGGAAGAUGAAGAAGCACAAAGUUCUUGUGAAGAAACCUCUGCACCCACAAGGAGACGUGGUCAGUGUGGGGUUUUCUCCUCAAAUCAUCAUGCGCACAGCAGUGGCCCGAGUGUCCGAUAG